CCCAAAUCCCGCUGCCCUCCUUCCCCAAGCGAGCGCCGGCGAAUCCCCUCCUUUCCCAAUCGAGCACCGGCGAGGGAAGCGAGCGCCGGCGAAAUCCCCUCCUUCCCCAAGCGAGCGCCAGUGAAUCCCCUCCUUCCCUAAGCAAGCGCGGCGAAAUCCCCUCCUUCCCCAAGCGAGCACCGGCGAAAUCACUGCAUAAUUUGAAGUUCAUCAUCCGACUCCUAGCAGCAAGUCAUUUUGGAUCUGAAAAACAAAUUACAGCUUUGCUAUGUUUGUGAAUUUUAGGCAGUUGCCAACAUUCUGUUUGUGUCAGAAUACAAUGCUCUGCAUGAAUAUGAAGAUCAUAUGUUUGAUGGAAUGAAAUCAUGUUAUAGGCAAGCUUGAUGAACGAGGAACUGAUUUUUUCUUUAAUGUUUGAUUUAGACGUUGUGAACUUUUGUACCAGGAGUUAAAUUGAUAUUUGAUUGUGAACUUUUGUACCAGGAGUUUGCAAUCACGCUUUCCACUUUUACUGCAUCGGUAGGUGGCUCAAGACCAAGCAACUCCAGUAAUGUUUUCGGAUGUCGAAAGUUAUAGGGAUCAAUGUUGUGUUAGUUUUUUAUGCUAAAAAGUUCCCUCCCCACUGUAUGAUACUUUCUCUUGAUCUUUUUGACAAAUGUAAAAUAGUUCAUAAGAGAGUACCCCUGUUACCUCAUCA
Molecule: long non-coding RNA, 697 nt
Organism: Asparagus officinalis (garden asparagus)
Lineage: Eukaryota; Viridiplantae; Streptophyta; Magnoliopsida; Asparagales; Asparagaceae
Exons: 2
Source: RefSeq, a predicted model, not a curated record